CAUCACAGGCCUGGAACCAGACUCUGAGUACACUGUUAAAGUCUACACUGAACUCCAACAUGGAGGAAAGAGCCAGCCUGCUUCUCUUAAAAUCAAAACAGAGAUCCCAGUCCCAGAGCGUCUGACUGUGAGCUCCAUCACUGCAUCAUCUGCUAGCCUCAGCUGGCUGGUGUCUCCUGAGAUGGAGCAGACUCCACACAGCUUCCUGGUCUCUUACCAGAGUGAAGGGACUGAGCCAAAGUCCAUCUCUACUGAGUCAUGCAGCACAGACAUCACAGGCCUGAAACCAGUAACUGACUACACUGUUA
Molecule: long non-coding RNA, 308 nt
Organism: Clupea harengus (Atlantic herring)
Lineage: Eukaryota; Metazoa; Chordata; Actinopteri; Clupeiformes; Clupeidae
Source: Ensembl